UGGGGAAUUGUUCGCAAUGGGCGCAAGCCUGACGACGCAACGCCGCGUGGAGGAUGAAGAUUUUCGGAUCGUAAACUCCUGUCGAAUGGGACGAACAGAUUGCGGGUGAACAGCCCGUAGUCCUGACGGUACCGUUAAAGGAAACCCCGGCUAACUCCGUGCCAGCAGCCGCGGUAAUACGUAGGGUGCGAGCGUUAAUCGGAAUUACUGGGCGUAAAGCGUGCGCAGGCGGUCGUGCAAGACAGAUGUGAAAUCCCCGGGCUCAACCUGGGAACUGCAUUUGUGACUGCACGGCUGGAGUGCGGCAGAGGGGGAUGGAAUUCCGCGUGUAGCAGCGAAAUGCGUAGAUAUGCGGAGGAACACCGAUGGCGAAGGCAAUCCCCUGGGCCUGCACUGACGCUCAUGCACGAAAGCGUGGGGAACAAA
Molecule: ribosomal RNA, 426 nt
Filed under: uncultured bacterium
Lineage: Bacteria
Description: bacterial SSU rRNA
Rfam family: Bacterial small subunit ribosomal RNA
Source: RNAcentral